GAUGAACGCUAGCUACAGGCUUAACACAUGCAAGUCGAGGGGUAACGAGAGGAAAGCUUGCUUUCCUUGUCGACGACCGGCGCACGGGUGAGUAACGCGUAUCCAACCUGCCCCCAACUAGGGAAUAACCUUGCGAAAGUAAGACUAAUACCCUAUAAUUUCCUCAGAUGUCAUCUGACGAGGAAUAAAGCGUUAUCGGUUGUGGAUGGGGAUGCGUCUGAUUAGCUUGUUGGCGGGGUAACGGCCCACCAAGGCAACGAUCAGUAGGGGUUCUGAGAGGAAGGACCCCCACAUUGGAACUGAGACACGGUCCAAACUCCUACGGGAGGCAGCAGUGAGGAAUAUUGGUCAAUGGGCGGAAGCCUGAACCAGCCAAGUAGCGUGCAGGAUGACGGCCCUAUGGGUUGUAAACUGCUUUUAUACAGGAAUAAAGUUAGCCACGUGUGGUUAUUUGUAGGUACUGUAUGAAUAAGGACCGGCUAAUUCCGUGCCAGCAGCCGCAGUAA
RNAcentral lists this ribosomal RNA (506 nucleotides) under uncultured bacterium. Its description in RNAcentral is "partial 16S ribosomal RNA". It matches the Rfam family "Bacterial small subunit ribosomal RNA", at positions 28 to 523 of the family's 1533-position model. The record is from RNAcentral.